GACGAACGCUGGCGGCGUGCUUAACACAUGCAAGUCGAACGGAAAGGCCCUGCUUGCAGGGUACUCGAGUGGCGAACGGGUGAGUAACACGUGGGUGAUCUGCCCUGCACUUCGGGAUAAGCCUGGGAAACUGGGUCUAAUACCGGAUAUGACCUUCCAUGUAGUGUGGGGGGUGGAAAGAUUUAUCGGUGUGGGAUGAGCCCGCGGCCUAUCAGCUUGUUGGUGGGGUAAUGGCCUACCAAGGCGUCGACGGGUAGCCGGCCUGAGAGGGUGGGCGGCCACAUUGGGACUGAGAUACGGCCCAGACUCCUACGGGAGGCAGCAGUGGGGAAUAUUGCACAAUGGGCGGAAGCCUGAUGCAGCGACGCCGCGUGGGGGAUGACGGCCUUCGGGUUGUAAACCUCUUUCGACAGGGACGAAGCUUCGGUGACGGUACCUGUAUAAGAAGCACCGGCUAACUACGUG
RNAcentral lists this ribosomal RNA (465 nucleotides) under uncultured bacterium. RNAcentral describes it as "partial 16S ribosomal RNA". It matches the Rfam family "Bacterial small subunit ribosomal RNA", at positions 28 to 507 of the family's 1533-position model. The record is from RNAcentral.